UUGAACGCUGGCGGCAUGCCUUACACAUGCAAGUCGAACGGCAGCACGGGAGCAAUCCUGGUGGCGAGUGGCGAACGGGUGAGUAAUAUAUCGGAACGUGCCCGGUCGUGGGGGAUAACGUAGCGAAAGCUACGCUAAUACCGCAUACGAUCUAUGGAUGAAAGCGGGGGAUCGCAAGACCUCGCGCGAUUGGAGCGGCCGAUAUCAGAUUAGGUAGUUGGUGAGGUAAAGGCUCACCAAGCCGACGAUCUGUAGCUGGUCUGAGAGGACGACCAGCCACACUGGGACUGAGACACGGCCCAGACUCCUACGGGAGGCAGCAGUGGGGAAUUUUGGACAAUGGGCGCAAGCCUGAUCCAGCAAUGCCGCGUGCAGGAUGAAGGCCUUCGGGUUGUAAACUGCUUUUGUACGGAACGAAACGGUGAGCUCUAAUACAGUUUGCUAAUGACGGUACCGUAAGAAUAAGCACCGGCUAACUACGUG
Molecule: ribosomal RNA, 483 nt
Filed under: uncultured bacterium
Lineage: Bacteria
Description: bacterial SSU rRNA
Rfam family: Bacterial small subunit ribosomal RNA
Source: RNAcentral